AGCGAACGCUGGCGGCAGGCUUAACACAUGCAAGUCGAGCGGGCACUUUCGGGUGUCAGCGGCGGACGGGUGAGUAACGCGUGGGAACGUGCCCUCUGGUUCGGAAUAACUCAGGGAAACUUGAGCUAAUACCGGAUACGCUCUUUUGGGGAAAGGCUUGCUGCCGGAGGAUCGGCCCGCGUCUGAUUAGCUUGUUGGUGAGGUAACGGCUCACCAAGGCGACGAUCAGUAGCUGGUCUGAGAGGAUGAGCAGCCACACUGGGACUGAGACACGGCCCAGACUCCUACGGGAAGCAGCAGUGGGGAAUAUUGGACAAUGGGCGCAAGCCUGAUCCAGCCAUGCCGCGUGAGUGAUGAAGGCCUUAGGGUUGUAAAGCUCUUUUAUCCGGGACGAUAAUGACGGUACCGGAGGAAUAAGCCCCGGCUAACUUCGUG
This 435-nucleotide ribosomal RNA is filed under the name uncultured bacterium. RNAcentral describes it as "partial 16S ribosomal RNA". It matches the Rfam family "Bacterial small subunit ribosomal RNA", at positions 29 to 507 of the family's 1533-position model. The record is from RNAcentral.